UACAGAGGUCUCAAGCGUUAAUCGGAAUUACUGGGCGUAAAGCGCGCGCAGGCGGUCUUCCAAGUCAGUGGUGAAAGCCCGGAGCUCAACUCCGGAACUGCCAUUGAAACUGUAAGACUUGAGGAUGAGAGAGGUGAGUGGAAUUCCCAGUGUAGAGGUGAAAUUCGUAGAUAUUGGGAAGAACACCGGUGGCGAAGGCGGCUCACUGGCUCAUAUCUGACGCUCAGGCGCGACAGCGUGGGGAUCAAACAGG
This 253-nucleotide ribosomal RNA is filed under the name uncultured bacterium. RNAcentral describes it as "partial 16S ribosomal RNA". It matches the Rfam family "Bacterial small subunit ribosomal RNA", at positions 524 to 776 of the family's 1533-position model. The record is from RNAcentral.